AUGACGUACCUAUGUCAGCACCAGAACGGUCACAUGGCAGUGACAGAGCUGGAAUCUGUAGACAGAACAACGUCCAGCAGUGGCUUAGAAGUCAUGAGGCGGAUGCAAAACCAGACCACACCAGAGAAGCUGCAGCAGGUACGGCACAUAGACAUUUACUUUGAUUUACUGAAGUUUAAUACCAAGAAGGUUCAUCUAAAAAUGUUUGAGUCAUUUCUCAUGAGUCAUUUGUUGUUAGUGCUGGUACAGUAGGAGUUCUAUCUACAGUGUAGUUGCUCAUUGUGGUUAUUUUGGUGACACUUCAGCUUAACACCGUGAAGUACAUUCAAUAUUAGCCAUAGACCAGUGGUUACUGAAAGAUGUUUGGAUUUAAGUCAAGUUUAAACUUGAGCAUGACAUACUACCAGUUGAGCUAGAUUGAAACUGUUGGAAAAUGUGAGUGUAAGAAAUGGUACACGACAAUACACCUGUCAUUACAAAACCAAUCAACUCAUCCUGUAAUGUAAAGGUUAAAAAUCAAGCCUUAGUAUAACAGAGAUGAUAUAUGGAAAUGUAUUUGUAUACGUAACUUGGAAUUGUCAUAUUCACCAUACAUGGGUGUUAUCUCUGGGUAAUGAAGAGGUUGUGUAGCUAGAAAGGCAGAGACUCGGCAAGGCAGAUAGAUUCAAACGACAUGCAAACUAGGACCGUGAAAACCAUGGGAACGACAUCUUGUUAUAACCAUAACGACACAAGGCGAGACCCAGAUGCAGACACGGGAGGCAGAUGGUUUGAGUUCCGAUAUUUAUUAUAGUCCAAGGGGUCAGCAAAAGGCAGGUCAAGAGUUCAUAACCAGGUCAGAGUCCAAAACAGUACAGGGCUGCAAGCAGAAUGGUCAGGCAGAUGGGCACAGAGUCAGAACACGAAAACCAGAGACUUGGCAACCCACUGGUUGACUUGGCAAACAAGAUGAACUGGCACAGACAGACAGAAAACACAGGUAUAAAUACACAGGGGAUAAGUGGGAAGAUGGGCGACACCUGGAGGGGGUGGAGACAAGCACAAGGACAGGUGAAACAGAUCAGGGUGUGACAAUAACUCUGUGCUGUAACCAACCAGCCCCUAAACAUCCACUAAAUGUCCUUUACUGUUGGUCUUAGCCAUCACUGGUUUAUUAUGUCACACAAAACAAGACUGCUGUUGUUGAUUCCUUUAUCACUUUCUUCUUCUGAGGUCAUUUGUAUCUGUUAGAAGCUGAGUACAGAAAUACCAAGUCUGCCUCUUCUGUCAGACUUGGUAUUUCAAGAAUCAGACGGUGAUGUUUGUUAUCUCGUUCUGUGUUUGUGCUCUGUCUAAUCUCUAUUUCACAGUCAGGGUGUCCCCCAAAUGGCACCCAAUUUCCUAAGGGCCCUAGUCGAAAGUAAACUGAACAAAAAUCUAAAUGCAACAUGCAACAAUUUCAACGAUUUUACUGAGUUACAGUUCAUAUAAGGAAAUCAGUCAAUUGAAAUAAAUUCAUUAGG
Molecule: long non-coding RNA, 1502 nt
Filed under: Oncorhynchus mykiss (rainbow trout)
Lineage: Eukaryota; Metazoa; Chordata; Actinopteri; Salmoniformes; Salmonidae
Description: lncRNA (ENSOMYG00000021857.2)
Source: RNAcentral